This 447-nucleotide ribosomal RNA is filed under the name uncultured bacterium. RNAcentral's name for it is "bacterial SSU rRNA". It matches the Rfam family "Bacterial small subunit ribosomal RNA", at positions 330 to 793 of the family's 1533-position model. The record is from RNAcentral.
UCCAGACUCCUACGGGAGGCAGCAGUGGGGGAUAUUGCACAAUGGGGGGAACCCUGAUGCAGCGACGCCGCGUGGGUGAAGGAGCGUUUCGGCGCGUAAAGCCCUAUCGGCAGGGAAGAAGGAGGACGGUACCUGGCUAAGAAGCCCCGGCUAACUACGUGCCAGCAGCCGCGGUAAUACGUAGGGGGCAAGCGUUAUCCGGAUUUACUGGGUGUAAAGGGGGCGCAGACGGCAGCGCAAGCCAGGAGUGAAAGCCCGGGGCCCAACCCCGGGACUGCUCUUGGAACUGCGCGGCUGGAGUGCAGGAGGGGCAGGCGGAAUUCCUGGUGUAGCGGUGAAAUGCGUAGAUAUCAGGAGGAACACCGGUGGCGAAGGCGGCCUGCUGGACUGCAACUGACGUUGAGGCCCGAAAGCGUGGGGAGCAAACAGGAUUAGAUACCCGAGUAA